AACUAUGUGCCAGCAGCUGCGGUAAUACAUAGGUCGCGAGCGUUAUUCGGAUUUAUUGGGCGUAAAGCAAGCGCAGGCGGAUUGAUAAGUUCUGUGUUAAAAGCAGCUGCUCAACAGUUGUUUGCACCGAAUACUGUCAGUCUAGAAUGUGGUAGGGAGUUUCGGAAUUAAAUAUGGAGCGGUGGAAUGUGUAGAUAUAUUUAAGAACACCAGAAGCGAAGGCGGAAACUCAGGCCAUUAUUGACGCUUAGGCUUGAAAGUGUGGGGAGCAAAUGGGAUUAGAUACCCCAGUAGUCCACACCGUAAACGAUGGGUAUUAGAUGUCGGGAUUUAAGUUUCGGCGUUGUAGCUUACGUGUUAAAUACCCCGCCUGGGUAGUACAUAUGCAAAUAUGAAACUCAAAGGAAUUGACGGGGACCUGAACAAGUGGUGGAACAUGUUGCUUAAUUCGAUAAUACACGAAAAACCUUACCAAGGUUUGACAUCCCCCGCAAAACCAUGGAAACAUGGCGGAGGUUAUCGGGGUGACAGGUGGUGCAUGGUUGUCGUCAGCUCGUGUCAUGAGAUGUUUGGUUAAGUCCCGCAACGAGCGCAACCCUACUCCUUAGUUACCUUUUCUAAGGAGACUGAACAGUAAUGUAUAGGAAGGUUGGGAUCACGUCAAAUCAUCAUGCCCCUUAUGCCUUGGGCUGCAAACGUGUUACAAUGGCGAGUACAAUGUGUCGCAAGCUAGCAAUAGCAAGCCAAUCACCUAAAACUCGUCUCAGUUCGGAUAGGAGGCUGCAAUUCGCCUCCUUGAAGUUGGAAUCACUAGUAAUCCCGUGUCAGCUAUAUCGGGGUGAAUACGUUCCCAGGUCUUGUACAC
RNAcentral lists this ribosomal RNA (865 nucleotides) under uncultured Mycoplasma sp. RNAcentral's name for it is "bacterial SSU rRNA". It matches the Rfam family "Bacterial small subunit ribosomal RNA", at positions 499 to 1388 of the family's 1533-position model. Lineage: Bacteria; Bacillati; Mycoplasmatota; Mollicutes; Mycoplasmatales; Mycoplasmataceae. The record is from RNAcentral.